Molecule: long non-coding RNA, 266 nt
Filed under: Gossypium raimondii (Peruvian cotton)
Lineage: Eukaryota; Viridiplantae; Streptophyta; Magnoliopsida; Malvales; Malvaceae
Description: long non-coding RNA (GRAI_LNC008169)
Source: RNAcentral
UUGAACCUGGUCAUGGUUGACCAAGCUACACCAAACCUUUUACAGUCUAUCACACCAAUUUGCACCCUAGUCUCAAUAUUUUUCAUUUUCUUCCCCUCUUUAUUCUCUCUUUUUGGCCACCACAACCACCACCAUUUUAUUUCCACCACCGUGAGUUUAUUUGCACCAUCACCUCACCACCAUCCACAAACAACACUCCCUCUAUUUUCCUUUCGAUUUCCCCUCCCCUCUUUUACCAUGCACUAUUGUGAGCUACCGUGUCUAGU